Molecule: unclassified non-coding RNA, 242 nt
Filed under: Hevea brasiliensis (rubber tree)
Lineage: Eukaryota; Viridiplantae; Streptophyta; Magnoliopsida; Malpighiales; Euphorbiaceae
Source: RNAcentral
GAGUUGAGUUGAGUUGAAUUGAUGCAGAAACUACGGGUCUUAAUUUGAUAGAUCAUCUUACUUGAUUCGCAAAAGAACCAUCAAGAGCAUUGGUGCAUUGAUUCUUGCUGACUGUUAACAUUCCUAAUAUUUAUAUGAAAUUUGAUGACUAAGACUAAUAAUGAACAGAACUUGUAAGAGGAUAUAUGAAGACUAGAAAUAACAUAUUGUUGCUUGGCAUGCAGAGAUGCUCUUGAUGCAUU